AAUUCCAGCUCCAAUAGCGUAUAUUAAGUUGUUGCAGUUAAAAGNUCGUAGUUGAAUUUCGGGAUUGACGUGAAUGGUGUGCCUUAAGGGGUAUGAACUGUCGCAGUUGAUUUCUCACCUUCUGGAGAAGCAUGAUGUCCUUAAUUGGGUGUCAUGUGGAACCAGGACCUUUACCUUGAAAAAAUUAGAGUGUUUAAAGCAGGCAUUUUGCUCGAAUACAUUAGCAUGGAAUAAUAGAAUAGGACGGCAUGGUUCUAAUUUUGUUGGUUUCUAGGAUCACCGUAAUGAUUAAUAGGGAUAUUGGGGGCAUUAGUAUUCAAUUGUCAGAGGUGAAAUUCUUGGAUUUAUUGAAAGACUAACUACUGCGAAAGCAUUUGCCAAGGAUGUUUUCAUUAAUCAAGAACGAAAGUUAGGGGAUCGAAGACGAUCAGAUACCGUCGUAGUCUUAACCAUAAACUAUGCCGACUAGGAAUCAGACGAUGUUAAUUUUUUAAUGACUCGUUUGGUCACCUUACG
Molecule: ribosomal RNA, 516 nt
Filed under: uncultured Entrophospora
Lineage: Eukaryota; Fungi; Glomeromycota; Glomeromycetes; Entrophosporales; Entrophosporaceae
Description: SSU rRNA
Rfam family: Eukaryotic small subunit ribosomal RNA
Source: RNAcentral